UACGGAGGGUGCGAGCGUUGUCCGGAAUCACUGGGCGUAAAGGGCGCGUAGGUGGCCUCUUAAGUGUGUGGUGAAAGCCCGGGGCUCAACCCCGGGUCGGCCAUGCAAACUGGGGGGGCUUGAGCAUUGUAGAGGCAGGCGGAAUUCCGGGUGUAGCGGUGGAAUGCGUAGAGAUCCGGAAGAACACCGGUGGCGAAGGCGGCCUGCUGGGCAAUUGCUGACACUGAGGCGCGACAGCGUGGGGAGCAACAGG
RNAcentral lists this ribosomal RNA (253 nucleotides) under uncultured bacterium. RNAcentral describes it as "partial 16S ribosomal RNA". It matches the Rfam family "Bacterial small subunit ribosomal RNA", at positions 524 to 775 of the family's 1533-position model. The record is from RNAcentral.